Molecule: long non-coding RNA, 402 nt
Filed under: Ananas comosus (pineapple)
Lineage: Eukaryota; Viridiplantae; Streptophyta; Magnoliopsida; Poales; Bromeliaceae
Description: long non-coding RNA (ACOM_LNC016899)
Source: RNAcentral
UAAAUAUUAAUAUAUAGACAUUCUAAAUACUAUAAAAUAAUUUGAAUUAAUUAACCUUUUAUUUUUCCAUUCCUAUUAUACAGAUUUACUGAUAUGUAUUACUGAAAUGUAUAUAUAUAUAUAUAUAUAUAUAUAUGUAGGCUGGGGCUACUAUACUCUUAUGAGUAUAGACCCCUUUAUACUCAUAAAUUUUUAACCGUUGAUUGAUGGAAUGUGUGGUUAGGAUGAUGGUGGUACCCACUUAGAAUGAUAGUGGCUCCCUAGGGUUGAGUGAGUAGUUGGUUGAAUAGUAUGAUCUAAUGGGUGGAAAUGAUCAAUGGAAUAAAUCUAAGGGCCGAAAACUUAUGAAUAUAAGGGAGCCAAUACUCAUAAAAGUAUAGUAGCCGGACUAUAUAUAUAUAU